This 1306-nucleotide ribosomal RNA is filed under the name metagenome. Its description in RNAcentral is "bacterial LSU rRNA". It matches the Rfam family "Bacterial large subunit ribosomal RNA", at positions 1624 to 2925 of the family's 2925-position model. The record is from RNAcentral.
UAAGGAAUAUAGAGGUGCCCGUACCGCAAACCGACACAGGUAGACAGGUAGAGAAUACUAAGGCGCGCGAGAUAACUCUUGUUAAGGAACUCUGCAAAAUAAACCCGUAACUUCGGGAGAAGGGUUGCUCUCUAGCGUGAGUAUGAGCAAUACAGAGCGCAGGAGAGUCGCAGUGAUAAGGUCCAGGCGACUGUUUAGCAAAAACACAGGUCAUUGCAAAAUCGCAAGAUGAAGUAUAAUGGCUGACGCCUGCCCGGUGCUGGAAGGUUAAGGGGAAGAGUGCAAGCUUUGAACCGAAGCCCCAGUAAACGGCGGCCGUAACUAUAACGGUCCUAAGGUAGCGAAAUUCCUUGUCGGGUAAGUUCCGACCCGCACGAAAGGCGAAACGAUCUGGACGCUGUCUCAACAAGGGACUCGGUGAAAUUGAAAUUCCGGUAAAGAUGCCGGAUACCUGCGAUAGGACAGAAAGACCCCAUGGAGCUUUACUGUAGCCUGAUAUUGGGUUUCGGAUAUUCAUGUACAGGAUAGGUGGGAGACUAAGAAGCAUGGACGCCAGUUUGUGCGGAGUCACUGGUGGGAUACCACCCUUAAAUGUUUGGAAUUCUAACAAGGAGUCUUGAAGCAGAUUAUUGGACAGUGUCAGGUGGGCAGUUUGACUGGGGCGGUCGCCUCCCAAAAGGUAACGGAGGCGCUCAAAGGUUCCCUCAGAACGGAUGGAAAUCGUUCGCAGAGUGCAAAGGCAGAAGGGAGCUUGACUGCGAGAGCCACAACUCGAGCAGAUAGGAAACUAGGACUUAGUGAUCCGGCGGUCGCGAGUGGAAGUGCCGUCGCUCAACGGAUAAAAGCUACCCUGGGGAUAACAGGCUUAUCUCCCCCAAGAGUUCACAUCGACGGGGAGGUUUGGCACCUCGAUGUCGGCUCAUCGCAUCCUGGGGCUGAAGUAGGUCCCAAGGGUUGGGCUGUUCGCCCAUUAAAGCGGUACGCGAGCUGGGUUCAGAACGUCGUGAGACAGUUCGGUCCCUAUCCAUCGCGGGCGUAGGAAAUUUGAAGGGAGCUGACCCUAGUACGAGAGGACCGGGUUGGACAGACCGCUGGUGAACCAGUUGUUCUGCCAAGAGCAUAGCUGGGUAGCUAAGUCUGGAAAAGAUAAACGCUGAAAGCAUCUAAGCGUGAAGCGAACCUUAAGAUGAGAUUUCCCACAACGAAAGUUGAUAAGACACCAGAGAGAAUAACUGGUCGAUAGGUCAGGAGUGUAAGUGUGGUGACACAUUGAGCGGACUGAUACUAAUAAGUCGAAGACUUAGCC